GGUCCAUUCAAAUUUCUUCCCUAUCAACUUUCGAUGGUAAGGUAUUGGCUUACCAUGGUUUCAACGGGUAACGGGGAAUUAGGGUUCGAUUCCUGAGAGGGAGCCUGAGAAACGGUUACCAAUCCAAGGAAGGCAGCAGGCGCGCAAAUUACCCAAUCCCGACGGGGAGGUAGUGACAAUAAAUACUGAUACAGGGCUCUUUUGGGUCUUGUAAUCGGAAUGAGUACAAUUUAAACCCUUUACGAGGAAAAUUGGAGGGCAAGUCUGGUGCAGAGACGGGGUAAUUCCAGCUCCAAUAGCGUAUAUUAAAGUUGUGCAGUUACAAAGCUCGUAGUUG
This 337-nucleotide ribosomal RNA is filed under the name uncultured fungus. RNAcentral's name for it is "SSU rRNA". It matches the Rfam family "Eukaryotic small subunit ribosomal RNA", at positions 292 to 636 of the family's 1831-position model. Lineage: Eukaryota; Fungi. The record is from RNAcentral.